UCAGCCCUCUGUGGGAGCAGCCGCUCAUCCUAGUCAGCCGAGUGGUGCUCCCAUUGUGGGAGUGCACUGACCACGAGGGAACCUCCUGU
This is a long non-coding RNA of Myotis brandtii (Brandt's bat), 89 nucleotides long. RefSeq lists it as uncharacterized. The transcript is spliced from 3 exons. NCBI's taxonomy places the organism in Eukaryota, Metazoa, Chordata, Mammalia, Chiroptera, Vespertilionidae. The record is from RefSeq and is a predicted model, not a curated record.